GGAUAUAAUUCAAUGGUAGAGCACUUGCCUAGUAUGCACAAGGCCCUGGAUUCAAACCCCAGUACUCCC
This 69-nucleotide transfer RNA is filed under the name Marmota monax (woodchuck). RNAcentral's name for it is "tRNA.Thr". The record is from RNAcentral. Lineage: Eukaryota; Metazoa; Chordata; Mammalia; Rodentia; Sciuridae.